This 231-nucleotide ribosomal RNA is filed under the name uncultured bacterium. Its description in RNAcentral is "partial 16S ribosomal RNA". It matches the Rfam family "Bacterial small subunit ribosomal RNA", at positions 103 to 334 of the family's 1533-position model. The record is from RNAcentral.
CGGGUGAGUAACGCGUGGGUAACCUGCCUCAUACAGGGGGAUAACAGUUAGAAAUGGCUGCUAAUACCGCAUAAGCACACAGUGUUGCAUGACACAGCGUGAAAAACUCCGGUGGUAUGAGAUGGACCCGCGUCUGAUUAGCUAGUUGGUGGGGUAACGGCCUACCAAGGCGACGAUCAGUAGCCGACCUGAGAGGGUGACCGGCCACAUUGGGACUGAGACACGGCCCAA